RNAcentral lists this long non-coding RNA (830 nucleotides) under Cucumis sativus (cucumber). Its description in RNAcentral is "long non-coding RNA (CSAT_LNC001253)". Lineage: Eukaryota; Viridiplantae; Streptophyta; Magnoliopsida; Cucurbitales; Cucurbitaceae. The record is from RNAcentral.
CAAGAUGCUUAAAAGUUUACCCCACUUUUAAGUAGACAAAGGCACUUUUCUCUCUCACACUGCUUCUUCCACAAGCAAAUUACAACUUGUUUUUAUACCAAUAAACGCCUUUCUUCUCACCUUCAUCAGGCUCCACGUAAAUGCACUCUUUUGCUUCUCUCCACAUUGCCUUCACAACCGGGGUCCCAUCAAAGUGAUAGUAUUGGCCCAAAAUUGGCUUGAUUGCCUUGGUUGCUUCCAUGGCAUGGUAAUGUGGCAUUGUGGACACCAAAUGAUGAGCCACAUGAGUGUCCGUAAUGUUGUGGAAGACCUUGUUCAAGAUGCCGUAGUCUCUGUCUACGGUUGCCAAGGCACCUCUUAGCCAGUCCCAUUCGGAGGAAUCGUAAUGUGGCAGUGCUGUGUGAGUGUGUUGAAGGUAUGUGAUUAGGACGAGGAAUCCAUUUACGAUCAGAAGUGGAACUCCGUAAACACAAACCACCCAAGCCAAUCCUUUGGCUAGAACAAGGCGGUAGAGCCCAUAGGUGACAGUUAGCAGCCCAGCGUCCGAAAUGAAUAUCUGUAACCGCUCACGGUCAGUGUAGAUGGGACCGUAUGGGUCAUAGUGGCAGGCAAAACGGUCGUAGGGACGGCCAGAGACGUUGAAGGCCAAGUAAAGAGGCCAGCCUAGGACCAGUUGGAUGGUGAGGGUGAGGACACGGCCUACAGGGUUGUUGAUGUAUGUGGAGUACCAUUUCAUGUCGGAUUUCUGUUUAGGGACAAAGACUUCAUCUCGUUCAAGAGAUCCGGUGUUGGAAUGGUGUCGACGGUGGCUGUAUUUCCAAGAGAAGUAG